This is a non-coding RNA of Potamilus streckersoni, 77 nucleotides long. Lineage: Eukaryota; Metazoa; Mollusca; Bivalvia; Unionida; Unionidae. The record is from the annotation of a GenBank genome assembly.
GACCACUCCAGUGGCUUUGUGGUUAGAGCAUCUGCCUCAGAUGCAGAAAGCCAUGGGUUCAAUCCCUGGCUGGGUCA